AUACGUAGGUGGCGAGCGUUGUCCGGAAUUACUGGGUGUAAAGGGUGCGUAGGCGGGUAAUAAAGUCAGAUGUGAAAUGCCGGGGCUCAACUCCGGAGGUGCAUUUGAAACUUAUUAUCUUGAGUGAAGUAGAGGCAAGUGGAAUUCCCAGUGUAGCGGUGAAAUGCGUAGAUAUUGGGAGGAACACCAGUGGCGAAGGCGACUUGCUGGGCUUUAACUGACGCUGAUGCACGAAAGCAUGGGGAGCAAACAGGAUUAGAUACCCUGGUAGUCCAUGCCGUAAACGAUGGAUACUAGGUGUGGGAGGUAUUGACCCCUUCCGUGCCGGAGUUAACACAAUAAGUAUCCCACCUGGGGAGUACGACCGCAAGGUUAAA
Molecule: ribosomal RNA, 377 nt
Filed under: uncultured bacterium
Lineage: Bacteria
Description: bacterial SSU rRNA
Rfam family: Bacterial small subunit ribosomal RNA
Source: RNAcentral